UACAGGGGGUGCGAGCGUUAAUCGGAAUUACUGGGCGUAAAGCGCACGUAGGCGGCUUGGUAUGUCGGGUGUGAAAUCCCCGGGCUCAACCUGGGAACUGCAUCCGAAACUGCCUUGCUCGAGUAUGGGAGAGGGAAGUGGAGUUUCCGGUGUAGCGGUGAAAUGCGUAGAUAUCGGAAGGAACAUCAGUGGCGAAGGCGACUUCCUGGACCAAUACUGACGCUCAGGUGCGAAAGCGUGGGGAGCAAACAGG
This 253-nucleotide ribosomal RNA is filed under the name uncultured bacterium. RNAcentral's name for it is "partial 16S ribosomal RNA". It matches the Rfam family "Bacterial small subunit ribosomal RNA", at positions 524 to 776 of the family's 1533-position model. The record is from RNAcentral.